GAGUCGCGUUAACGUGCAAUUAAGACGUUCGCGGUAACCUCUCAUUAUUCAGAGUUCUUCUGGAUUUCAGAGUGGUUUCUCCCUCUGUUUGACGCCUCCCUGUUAACUUCCGAGAGCCGUUUCGACGGCUCUUUUCUU
Molecule: small RNA, 138 nt
Filed under: Devosia geojensis
Lineage: Bacteria; Pseudomonadati; Pseudomonadota; Alphaproteobacteria; Hyphomicrobiales; Devosiaceae
Description: Alphaproteobacterial sRNA BjrC1505
Rfam family: Alphaproteobacterial sRNA BjrC1505
Source: Rfam by way of RNAcentral